AGGGUUUGAUCCUGGCUCAGAACGAACGCUGGCGGCGUGCCUAACACACGCAAGUCGAACGAGAAAGGGGCUUCGGCUACGAGUAAAGUGGCGCACGGGUGAGUAACACGUAGGUAACCUGCCUCCAAGAUUGGAAUAACCUGUCGAAAGAUGAGCUAAUACCAAAUAAGACCACGGCUUCCUCGGAAGCAGGGGUCAAAGGUAGCCUCUACUUGUAAGCUAUCACUUAGAGAUGGGCCUGCGUACCAUUAGCUAGUUGGUGGGGUAACGGCCCACCAAGGCAAAGAUGGUUAGCUGGUCUGAGAGGAUGAUCAGCCACACUGGAAAUGAGACUCGGUCCAGACUCCUACGGGAGGCAGCAGUGGGGAAUGUUGCGCAAUGGGCGAAAGCCCGCCGCAGCAACGCCGCGUGAGUGAUGAAGGCCUUCGGGUCGUAAAGCUAAGUCGGAGGGAACGAAUGCUCUUGAGGUUAACAGCCUCGGGAAGUGACGUACCCUCAAAGGAAGCGCU
This 509-nucleotide ribosomal RNA is filed under the name uncultured soil bacterium. RNAcentral describes it as "bacterial SSU rRNA". It matches the Rfam family "Bacterial small subunit ribosomal RNA", at positions 8 to 494 of the family's 1533-position model. The record is from RNAcentral.